Molecule: ribosomal RNA, 1372 nt
Filed under: uncultured bacterium
Lineage: Bacteria
Description: 16S ribosomal RNA
Rfam family: Bacterial small subunit ribosomal RNA
Source: RNAcentral
GCGGCAGGCUUAACACAUGCAAGUCGAGGGGCAGCGGGGAGGAAGCUUGCUUUCUCCGCCGGCGACCGGCGCACGGGUGAGUAACACGUAUGCAACCUGCCCCUGUCAGGGGGACAACCCGCCGAAAGGCGGGCUAAACCCGCGUACAUGCCACCGGGGCAUCCCGGAGGCAGGAAAGGCUUCGGCCGGACAGGGAUGGGCAUGCGGCGCAUUAGGCAGUAGGCGGGGUAACGGCCCACCUAACCGACGAUGCGUAGGGGUUCUGAGAGGAAGGUCCCCCACACUGGUACUGAGACACGGACCAGACUCCUACGGGAGGCAGCAGUGAGGAAUAUUGGUCAAUGGUCGGGAGACUGAACCAGCCAAGCCGCGUGAGGGAGGAAGGUACAGAGUAUCGUAAACCUCUUUUGUCAGGGAACAAAGGCGGGGACGUGUCCCCGGAUGAGUGUACCUGAAGAAAAAGCAUCGGCUAACUCCGUGCCAGCAGCCGCGGUAAUACGGAGGAUGCGAGCGUUAUCCGGAUUUAUUGGGUUUAAAGGGUGCGCAGGCGGUCUGUUAAGUCAGCGGUCAAAGCCCGGGGCUCAACCCCGGCCCGCCGUUGAAACUGGCAGUCUCGAGUUGGAGAGAAGUAUGCGGAAUGCGCGGUGUAGCGGUGAAAUGCAUAGAUAUCGCGCAGAACUCCGAUUACGAAGGCAGCAUGCCGGCUCCACACUGACGCUGAGGCACGAAAGCGUGGGUAUCGAACAGGAUUUAGAUACCCUGGUAGUCCACGCAGUAAACGAUGAAUGCUGGCUGUCCGGGGGGAUUGACCCCUGGGUGGCGAAGCGAAAGCGAUAAGCAUUCCACCUGGGGAGUACGCCGGCAACGGUGAAACUCAAAGGAAUUGACGGGGGCCCGCACAAGCGGAGGAACAUGUGGUUUAAUUCGAUGAUACGCGAGGAACCUUACCCGGGCUCAAACGGGGAGUGACUCAGGCAGAGACGCCUGUUUCCCACGGGACACUCCCCGAGGUGCUGCAUGGUUGUCGUCAGCUCGUGCCGUGAGGUGUCGGCUUAAGUGCCAUAACGAGCGCAACCCCCGCGUGCAGUUGCUAACAGAUAACGCUGAGGACUCUGCACGGACUGCCGGCGCAAGCCGCGAGGAAGGCGGGGAUGACGUCAAAUCAGCACGGCCCUUACGUCCGGGGCGACACACGUGUUACAAUGGGUGGUACAGCGGGAAGCCAGGCGGCGACGCCGAGCGGAACCCGAAAUCCACUCUCAGUUCGGAUCGGAGUCUGCAACCCGACUCCGUGAAGCUGGAUUCGCUAGUAAUCGCGCAUCAGCCAUGGCGCGGUGAAUACGUUCCCGGGCCUUGCACACACCGCCCGUCA